CCACUUCUGUAAACUUGAAAGCGU
This 24-nucleotide small nuclear RNA is filed under the name Arabidopsis thaliana (thale cress). Its description in RNAcentral is "snRNA_10271". The record is from RNAcentral. Lineage: Eukaryota; Viridiplantae; Streptophyta; Magnoliopsida; Brassicales; Brassicaceae.